UCCUAUGACAGGUUGAGGGAACUGGGGUUGUUCAGAUUGAAGAGAAGGCUCCAGGGAGACCUCAUUGUAGCCUUCCAGUACUUGAAGGGAGCAUAUAAACAGGAAUGGGAAUGGCUAUUUACAAGGGUGGAUAGCGAUAAGACAAGGGAGAACCAUUUUAAACUGAGACAGGGAAGGUUUAGGUUAGAUAUUAGCAGGAAGUUUUUCACUCAGAGGGUGGUGACAGAAUGGAACAGGUUGCCCAAGGAGGUUGUGGAUGCCCCAUCCCAUUCAAGGCCAGGCUGGAUGUGGUUCUGGGCAGCCUGGUCUGGUGGUUGGUGACCUUGCACAUAGCAGGGGGGUUGAAACGAGAUGAUCAUUGCAGUCAUCUAUGAUUCUAUGAUUCUAUGAUCUUUGUGAAUGAAGUCUAAGAGUUGUUUUUUUUUAAUCUUAAUAAAAUGCUAUGUUUCUUCUGUUUCUUUUUCACUAAAGGAGAACACUAAAGGAACCCAGGCAGAGAUUUUCUUCAGCUGCUUUAUGAUAGAGGAAAAAGUGAGCAUGGACAUAUGCAAACUGAGAAAGAAGAAAAAUGAUUUAAGCCAAAGAUCUUAAAAGAAUGGUGAUGUGGAAGUUCCAUGAAAAGCUGAGAAGGUCAAAAACAUCAGUAACGAGGAGAGUUCCAGAAGGAGUAGCAGCAGGAGGAGCAAUAGCAGUGGAAGCAAAAGGAGGAUGAGGAAGAUUUUGAAUGUCUUUUAAAUGUGAGCAUCCAAUGUCCAGUGAAGGACCUUCCAAAAAAGAGCCCAAUUAUGUGCUCUCUGGUGCACAGACUCAUUCAUUUAUCCUGAAUUCUCUUGUUGGACAGUUUCUAUCCAGUGCUGCAGCCCUCCACUGGGGGGUGGCCCCCCGAGGAUAACCCUGCAUUCUGCCUGCU
RNAcentral lists this long non-coding RNA (910 nucleotides) under Phasianus colchicus (ring-necked pheasant). Its description in RNAcentral is "lncRNA (ENSPCLG00000013330.1)". Lineage: Eukaryota; Metazoa; Chordata; Aves; Galliformes; Phasianidae. The record is from RNAcentral.